Molecule: long non-coding RNA, 825 nt
Organism: Ooceraea biroi (clonal raider ant)
Lineage: Eukaryota; Metazoa; Arthropoda; Insecta; Hymenoptera; Formicidae
Source: RefSeq, a predicted model, not a curated record
AGACCGUUUUAAGUUUAUCUGCAGAUGUUGUAUAGAUCAUUUCAUUGGCUACGGAGUAUCUGAAGAUACACUUAAGACGGUCUUAAAUAUAAGAUCCAACUAUGAAUACCGGCCUAAGACCAGCUUGCUGAACAAAACGAAGCAACGCUUUAUAUGCCUGAAUAUUCUGUGAAAAGGCAAUCUGAUAAACGUCGUAGGGUGGCGAAAAGCCGUUAUGAAACAGGUCCAUGACAAGUGUCGCGGAGUGCUGAGCGAGUAAUGAACAAUUAAAGAAAAGAUGAUUAGCAUCCUGAUAUUGACCGCAAUCGCAUGUGGCAGAAAGAGCAUCGGAACCAAGGCUUCGCAAGAACCGGAUCAACCUUUCUGUCAAAAUAACGCUUCCCCUUAUUUGUACAAUCCUGAAUAAUGUGGCGACAAGCCCGGCGCCCUAUCGAUUCAUGAAACGAAGAAAAAAAGGAUUUAUAGUGACAAGACUGCACGGAUGCAUCUGUCAAAGAAAGAGCGGCCUUGGCGAGUCCGUCCGCACGCUCGUUUCCAACGAUUCCAGAGUGGCCCGGAACCCACAGCAGGCGGACGGGCAUCCCCCUCUCCAAAAGCAACGACCUAAAAGCAUUCUUAAUUGUAUAUAUUGUUGAAAUUUGAUUAUUUCCCUUUGCAAAUGUGCGAGAUAAGGUAUAAAUAAAUGUGUUCAGUAUUUCAAUAAACAAAAGAAAAUGUAUAUAUAUAUAAUUACGAAAAAUAUGUAACAAUACAUUCAAACAGUUUCAAAUAAUUAUAUAUCAAUCACAUACAAAUAAGCAAGAAAAUAUACGUGUGAACCUCAAA